Molecule: ribosomal RNA, 422 nt
Filed under: uncultured archaeon
Lineage: Archaea
Description: bacterial SSU rRNA
Rfam family: Archaeal small subunit ribosomal RNA
Source: RNAcentral
CCUACGGGUCGCAGCAGUUGCGAAAACUUCACACUGUGGGAAACCACGAUGAGGGGAUUCCAAGUGCCAGCACUAAGUGUUGGCUUUUCACCUGUGUAAAGAGCAGGUGGAAUAAGGGCCGGGUAAGACGGGUGCCAGCCGCCGCGGUAACACCCGCGGCCCGAGUGGUGACCAUUUUUAUUGAGCUUAAAGCGUCCGUAGCCGGUCUGGUAAAUCUCUGGGUAAAUCGAACGGCUCAACCGUUCGAAUACCAGGGAGACUGCUAGACUUGGGGCCGGGAGAGGUCAGAGGUACUCCUGGGGUAGAAGUAAAAUUCUGUAAUCCUAGGAGGACCACCAGUGGCGAAAGCGUCUGACUAGAACGGACCCGACGGUGAGGGACGAAGCCCUGGGGCGCGAACCGGAUUAGAUACCCCCGUAGUC